GGGCACAUGGUGUAGUUGGUUUAUCACGCUCGCUUCGCAUUGCACAUGUGAGUGGGCAUCUGAAUGUUUCUGCGAGAGGUGUCCGGUUCAAUUCCGGAUGUGUCCA
Amylostereum chailletii is the source of this 106-nucleotide non-coding RNA. Lineage: Eukaryota; Fungi; Basidiomycota; Agaricomycetes; Russulales; Stereaceae. The record is from the annotation of a GenBank genome assembly.